GAUGAACGCUGGCGGCGUGCCUAAUACAUGCAAGUCGAACGAAACUUCUUUAUCACCGAGUGCUUGCACUCACCGAUAAAGAGUUGAGUGGCGAACGGGUGAGUAACACGUGGGCAACCUGCCCAAAAGAGGGGGAUAACACUUGGAAACAGGUGCUAAUACCGCAUAACCAUAGUUACCGCAUGGUAACUAUGUAAAAGGUGGCUAUACUACCGCUUUUGGAUGGGCCCGCGGCGCAUUAGCUAGUUGGUAGGGUAAAGGCUUACCAAGGCAAUGAUGCGUAGCCGAAUUGAGAGGUUGAUCGGCCACAUUGGGACUGAGACACGGCCCAAACUCCUACGGGAGGCAGCAGUAGGGAAUCUUCCACAAUGGGCGAAAGCCUGAUGGAGCAACGCCGCGUGGGUGAAGAAGGUCUUCGGAUCGUAAAACCCUGUUGUUAGAGAAGAAAGUGCGUGAGAGUAACUGUUCACGUUUCGACGGUAUCUAACCGGAAAGCCACGGCUAACUACGUG
Molecule: ribosomal RNA, 512 nt
Filed under: uncultured bacterium
Lineage: Bacteria
Description: partial 16S ribosomal RNA
Rfam family: Bacterial small subunit ribosomal RNA
Source: RNAcentral